UUGAAACCCCACAGAAGAGAAAACAAUCACAGAGCAGCUACUAUUAUUAUUUGGGUGGUGGAUCAUUAAUUCUCAAUACUGCAGUGAUUAGCAGUGAUUAGCAUGGUGGUGGUGUAUGAGGUGUUAGUGUGUGUUGAGCUGGUGGUACAGUGAGUGGAUCAGAUACAGCAGUGAUUAGCGUGGUGGUGGUGUAUGAGGUGUUAGUGUGUGUUGAGCUGGUGGUACAGUGAGUGGAUCAGAUACAGCAGUGAUUAGCAUGGUGGUGGUGUUAGUGAGUGUUGUGCUGGUGGUACAGUGAGUGGAUCAGAUACAGCAGUGAUUAGCAGUGAUUAGCAUGGUGGUGGUGUAUGAGGUGUUAGUGUGUGUUGAGCUGGUGGUACAGUGAGUGGAUCAGAUACAGCAGUGUUUAGCAGUGAUUAGCAUGGUGGUGGUGUAUGAGGUGUUAGUGUGUGUUGAGCUGGUGGUACAGUGAGUGGAUCAGAUACAGCAGUGAUUAGCAGUGAUUAGCAUGGUGGUGGUGUAUGAGGUGUUAGUGUGUGUUGAGCUGGUGGUACAGUGAGUGGAUCAGAUACAGCAGUGAUUAGCAUGGUGGUGGUGUAUGAGGUGUUAGUGAGUGUUGAGCUGGUGGUACAGUGAGUGGAUCAGAUACAGCAGUGAUUAGCAUGGUGGUGGUGUAUGAGGUGUUAGUGUGUGUUGAGCUGGUGGUACAGUGAGUGGAUCAGAUACAGCAGUGAUUAGCAGUGAUUAGCAUGGUGGUGUAUGAGGUGUUAGUGAGUGUUGAGCUGGUGGUACAGUGAGUGGAUCAGAUACAGCAGUGAUUAGCAGUGAUUAGCAUGGUGUAUGGUGGUGUAUGAGGUGUUCGUGAGUGU
Long non-coding RNA from Astyanax mexicanus (Mexican tetra), 869 nucleotides. RefSeq lists it as uncharacterized. The transcript has 3 exons. The record is from RefSeq and is a predicted model, not a curated record. Lineage: Eukaryota; Metazoa; Chordata; Actinopteri; Characiformes; Acestrorhamphidae.